CCCAGACUCCUACGGGAGGCAGCAGUGGGGAAUAUUGCACAAUGGGGGAAACCCUGAUGCAGCGACGCCGCGUGAGCGAAGAAGUAUUUCGGUAUGUAAAGCUCUAUCAGCAGGGAAGAAAAUGACGGUACCUGACUAAGAAGCUCCGGCUAAAUACGUGCCAGCAGCCGCGGUAAUACGUAUGGAGCAAGCGUUAUCCGGAUUUACUGGGUGUAAAGGGAGCGCAGGCGGCUUUGCAAGUCUGAUGUGAAAGGCCAGGGCUCAACCCUGGGACUGCAUUGGAAACUGGCAGUCUCGAGUUGGAGAGAAGUAUGCGGAAUGCGCGGUGUAGCGGUGAAAUGCAUAGAUAUCGCGCAGAACUCCGAUUGCGAAGGCAGCAUGCCGGCUCCACACUGACGCUGAGGCACGAAAGCGUGGGUAUCGAACAGGAUUAGAUACCCGGGUA
This 445-nucleotide ribosomal RNA is filed under the name uncultured bacterium. RNAcentral describes it as "bacterial SSU rRNA". It matches the Rfam family "Bacterial small subunit ribosomal RNA", at positions 330 to 792 of the family's 1533-position model. The record is from RNAcentral.